RNAcentral lists this ribosomal RNA (97 nucleotides) under uncultured bacterium. Its description in RNAcentral is "partial 16S ribosomal RNA". It matches the Rfam family "Bacterial small subunit ribosomal RNA", at positions 1388 to 1482 of the family's 1533-position model. The record is from RNAcentral.
CACCGCCCGUCACACCAUGGAAGCCAGCUGUACCGGAAGUCGGCGCGCCAACCCGCAAGGGAAGUAGCCGCCUAUGGUAUGACUGGUGACUGGGGUG